GGAAUCCCUUGACAAAAGGGCCAGAGGUACUGCCUUGGACUGGACCUUCAGGUGAGCCGAGCGGGGUGUGAGAGUGUGUGUGUGUGUGUGUGUGGUGACCACAAGUGUAUGGGGGAGAGGAGGACUCUCGCUGAACAUACGGCUUAGUAGAUGAUACGUACCUGCGGUUUAUACAGGUCAUUCUAUGCCAAAUUCCGAGGCCCACCCUGUUCUGGGGUGAGGGGUUUACCCUGCAGCAUCUGUCCGAUUCUCCCACCUAUUUCUGAGUGUGGACUCUGUGGUACCGCAGUUCUUUGUCGUCCGAGAGGAACCCAGUCGGGUCAAGUCAAGCUAAGUUUUGGAGUCUUGCAUGCUUGCAAAGGGUAUCCUUCCCGAACCCCAAGGAUAUCCUUCCGUGCCCAUAACAGCAGUGUACAAGAUCUUUGAGGCGCCUAGCUCUCCCUGUAACAUCCCAGCAAUGACCUAAAGGGACAUCAGCUGGAACAAUGGUCAAGGAGACCAAAGAGAAAGACCAAUAAGUUGCUUCAUCCAUCUCAAGGCUACACAAAAUCAUGACCAAAAGCCUACAGUAAAGUCACUUGAAAAGGAUGGAUAUCAAUGGAGCAGAAGCUGGAAGGAACUUUGGUGAACAGAGCUGAAAGCCAGUGGGGUCUGGAAGCAAGCCUGUUGGGAUAUCAGUGAAAGAGAAAUCCAGGCCUAGAAGGUCACUAAACAGGGAGACCCAGUAGUUAACAAGGCCAACAUAGCUUCUAGAAAGCCAGGAAGCCCGAGAGCAGUACAAUCUCCACUCUCCAAUUGACUGUUGUGGCCAAAGUAAGAGGUGAAGCCAGCUCCCACUUGGAAACUCUUCAAGAAGGAGACAAGGAUGGUGCCAAGACUAACAUUAGCAUUAGGGUCACCAGGAAGAGGAGGCAGAAGCCAGAAAUUUCCACAGAAGGCAGAAUCUAAUCCAAGUCACUCCAUCUAGAUAUAUAACAGUAGUGACAUCCACACUAUAGGGCCAGAAGCAAACAAAGUCUGCCUGCACCAUUUAAGAGUCUGGGAAAGAUCCGAGUCUAAUCCCAACCCAAAGUUUCUCUUCUUUAACUAAGACUGAAGAUAGUAAUAAACAAAAGAAAACUCAAAGUACA
This 1130-nucleotide long non-coding RNA is filed under the name Monodelphis domestica (gray short-tailed opossum). Its description in RNAcentral is "lncRNA (ENSMODG00000038718.1)". Lineage: Eukaryota; Metazoa; Chordata; Mammalia; Didelphimorphia; Didelphidae. The record is from RNAcentral.